UAAUACGGAGGGUGCAAGCGUUAAUCGGAAUUACUGGGCGUAAAGCGUUCGUAGGCGGUUUGUUAAGUUAGAUGUGAAAGCCCCGGGCUUAACCUGGGAAUUGCAUUUAAAACUGGCAGACUAGAGUUUGGGAGAGGAGAGUGGAAUUUCAGGUGUAGCGGUGAAAUGCGUAGAGAUCUGAAGGAACACCAGUGGCGAAGGCGGCUCUCUGGGCUAAAACUGACGCUGAGGAACGAAAGCAUGGGUAGCAAACAGGAUUAAAUACCCCGGUAGUCCAUGCCGUAAACGAUGUCAACUAACUGUUGGGUACUUCGGUACUUAGUGGUGGAGCUAACGUAUUAAGUUGACCGCCUGGGGAGUACGGCCGCAAGGCUA
Molecule: ribosomal RNA, 375 nt
Filed under: uncultured Gammaproteobacteria bacterium
Lineage: Bacteria; Pseudomonadati; Pseudomonadota; Gammaproteobacteria
Description: bacterial SSU rRNA
Rfam family: Bacterial small subunit ribosomal RNA
Source: RNAcentral